UACACUCCUACGGGAGGCAGCAGUGGGGAAUAUUGCACAAUGGGCGCAAGCCUGAUGCAGCCAUGCCGCGUGUAUGAAGAAGGCCUUCGGGUUGUAAAGUACUUUCAGCGGGGAGGAAGGCGAUAAGGUUAAUAACCUUGUUGAUUGACGUUACCCGCAGAAGAAGCACCGGCUAACUCCGUGCCAGCAGCCGCGGUAAUACGGAGGGUGCAAGCGUUAAUCGGAAUUACUGGGCGUAAAGCGCACGCAGGCGGUCUGUCAAGUCGGAUGUGAAAUCCCCGGGCUCAACCUGGGAACUGCAUUCGAAACUGGCAGGCUAGAGUCUUGUAGAGGGGGGUAGAAUUCCAGGUGUAGCGGUGAAAUGCGUAGAGAUCUGGAGGAAUACCGGUGGCGAAGGCGGCCCCCUGGACAAAGACUGACGCUCAGGUGCGAAAGCGUGGGGAGCAAACAGGAUUAGAUACCCCUGUAGUCCCA
RNAcentral lists this ribosomal RNA (474 nucleotides) under uncultured organism. RNAcentral describes it as "partial 16S ribosomal RNA". It matches the Rfam family "Bacterial small subunit ribosomal RNA", at positions 332 to 797 of the family's 1533-position model. The record is from RNAcentral.